RNAcentral lists this ribosomal RNA (457 nucleotides) under uncultured bacterium. RNAcentral describes it as "partial 16S ribosomal RNA". It matches the Rfam family "Bacterial small subunit ribosomal RNA", at positions 338 to 795 of the family's 1533-position model. The record is from RNAcentral.
CCUACGGGUGGCAGCAGUGGGGAAUAUUGCACAAUGGGGGAAACCCUGAUGCAGCGACGCCGCGUGAGUGAAGAAGUAUUUCGGUAUGUAAAGCUCUAUCAGCAGGGAAGAAAUAAAGUCCUUCGGACUUUGGACGGUACCUGACUCAGAAGCCCAGGCUAACUACGUGCCAGCAGCCGCGGUAAUACGUAGGGGGCAAGCGUUAUCCGGAUUUACUGGGUGUAAAGGGAGCGUAGACGGCAGCGCAAGUCUGGAGUGAAAGCCCAUGGCUUAACCAUGGAACUGCUUUGGAAACUGUGCAGCGGGAGUGCAGGAGAGGUAAGCGGAAGUCCUAGUGUAGCGGUGAAAGGCGUAGAUAUUAGGAGGAACACCAGUGGCGAAGGCGGCUUACUGGACUGUAACUGACGUUGAGGCUCGAAAGCGUGGGGAGCAAACAGGAUUAGAUACCCGGGUAGUC